AGAUACCCGGGUAGUCCUAGCCGUAAACGNUACUCGCUAGGUGUCGGCCACGGUGCGACCGUUGUCGGUGCCGUAGGGAAGCCGUGAAGCGAGCCACCUGGGAAGUACGGCCGCAAGGCUGAAACUUAAAGGAAUUGGCGGGGGAGCACCACAACGGGUGGAGCUUGCGGUUUAAUUGGAUUCAACGCCGGAAAUCUUACCGGGACCGACAGCAACAUGAAGGCCAGGCUGAAGACUUUGCCGGAUUAGCUG
RNAcentral lists this ribosomal RNA (252 nucleotides) under uncultured archaeon. RNAcentral describes it as "partial 16S ribosomal RNA". It matches the Rfam family "Archaeal small subunit ribosomal RNA", at positions 731 to 982 of the family's 1478-position model. The record is from RNAcentral.